UUUGUACUGUUUUAGACUCUUU
RNAcentral lists this microRNA (22 nucleotides) under Panagrellus redivivus. RNAcentral's name for it is "prd-miR-7956-3p". The record is from miRBase by way of RNAcentral. Lineage: Eukaryota; Metazoa; Nematoda; Chromadorea; Rhabditida; Panagrolaimidae.